Molecule: ribosomal RNA, 483 nt
Filed under: uncultured bacterium
Lineage: Bacteria
Description: partial 16S ribosomal RNA
Rfam family: Bacterial small subunit ribosomal RNA
Source: RNAcentral
AUUGAACGCUGGCGGCAGGCCUAACACAUGCAAGUCGAGCGGAUGAAGGGAGCUUGCUCCUGGAUUCAGCGGCGGACGGGUGAGUAAUGCCUAGGAAUCUGCCUGGUAGUGGGGGAUAACGUCCGGAAACGGGCGCUAAUACCGCAUACGUCCUGAGGGAGAAAGUGGGGGAUCUUCGGACCUCACGCUAUCAGAUGAGCCUAGGUCGGAUUAGCUAGUUGGGGGGGAAAGGCCUACCAAGGCGACGAUCCGUAACUGGUCUGAGAGGAUGAUCAGUCACACUGGAACUGAGACACGGUCCAGACUCCUACGGGAGGCAGCAGUGGGGAAUAUUGGACAAUGGGCGAAAGCCUGAUCCAGCCAUGCCGCGUGUGUGAAGAAGGUCUUCGGAUUGUAAAGCACUUUAAGUUGGGAGGAAGGGCAGUAAGUUAAUACCUUGCUGUUUUGACGUUACCAACAGAAUAAGCACCGGCUAACUUCGUG